AUUAGCUAGUUGGUGGGGUAAAGGCCUACCCAAGGCGACGAUCUUGUAGCGGGUCUGAGAGGAUGAUCCGCCACACUGGGACUGAGACACGGCCCAGACUCCUACGGGAGGCAGCAGUGGGGAAUAUUGGACAAUGGGCGCAAGCCUGAUCCAGCCAUGCCGCGUGUGUGAAGAAGGCCUUAUGGUUGUAAAGCACUUUAAGCGAGGAGGAGGCUACUUUAGUUAAUACCUAGAGAUAGUGGACGUUACUCGCAGAAUAAGCACCGGCUAACUCUGUGCCAGCAGCCGCGGUAAUACAGAGGGUGCAAGCGUUAAUCGGAUUUACUGGGCGUAAAGCGCGCGUAGGCGGCUAAUUAAGUCAAAUGUGAAAUCCCCGAGCUUAACUUGGGAAUUGCAUUCGAUACUGGUUAGCUAGAGUGUGGGAGAGGAUGGUAGAAUUCCAGGUGUAGCGGUGAAAUGCGUAGAGAUCUGGAGGAAUACCGAUGGCGAAGGCAGCCAUCUGGCCUAACACUGACGCUGAGGUGCGAAAGCAUGGGGAGCAAACAGGAUUAGAUACCCUGGUAGUCCAUGCCGUAAACGAUGUCUACUAGCCGUUGGGGCCUUUGAGGCUUUAGUGGCGCAGCUAACGCGAUAAGUAGACCGCCUGGGGAGUACGGUCGCAAGACUAAAACUCAAAUGAAUUGACGGGGGCCCGCACAAGCGGUGGAGCAUGUGGUUUAAUUCGAUGCAACGCGAAGAACCUUACCUGGCCUUGACAUAGUAAGAACUUUCCAGAGAUGGAUUGGUGCCUUCGGGAACUUACAUACAGGUGCUGCAUGGCUGUCGUCAGCUCGUGUCGUGAGAUGUUGGGUUAAGUCCCGCAACGAGCGCAACCCUUUUCCUUAUUUGCCAGCGAGUAAUGUCGGGAACUUUAAGGAUACUGCCAGUGACAAACUGGAGGAAGGCGGGGACGACGUCAAGUCAUCAUGGCCCUUACGGCCAGGGCUACACACGUGCUACAAUGGUCGGUACAAAGGGUUGCUACCUAGCGAUAGGAUGCUAAUCUCAAAAAGCCGAUCGUAGUCCGGAUUGGAGUCUGCAACUCGACUCCAUGAAGUCGGAAUCGCUAGUAAUCG
This 1115-nucleotide ribosomal RNA is filed under the name Acinetobacter sp. RNAcentral describes it as "bacterial SSU rRNA". It matches the Rfam family "Bacterial small subunit ribosomal RNA", at positions 240 to 1344 of the family's 1533-position model. The record is from RNAcentral. Lineage: Bacteria; Pseudomonadati; Pseudomonadota; Gammaproteobacteria; Moraxellales; Moraxellaceae.